This 1438-nucleotide ribosomal RNA is filed under the name uncultured bacterium. Its description in RNAcentral is "bacterial SSU rRNA". It matches the Rfam family "Bacterial small subunit ribosomal RNA". The record is from RNAcentral.
AGAGUUUGAUCAUGGCUCAGAACGUACGCUGGCGGCACGCCUAACACAUGCAAGUCGAACGAAGUAGCAAUACUUAGUGGCAGACGGGUGAGUAACAUGUGGGUAUCUGCCCUUUGGCCUGGAAUAACACGAGGAAACUUGUGCUAAUACCGGAUAAGUCUUUACGGAGAAAGCUUUAUGCACCAUUGGAUGAGCCCGCAUUUGAUUAGUUAGUUGGUGGGGUAAUGGCCUACCAAGACUUUGAUCAAUAGCUGAUUUGAGAGGAUGAUCAGCCACAUUGGGACUGAGACACGGCCCAAACUCCUACGGGAGGCAGCAGUGGGGAAUCUUGCACAAUGGAGGAAACUCUGAUGCAGCGAUGCCGCGUGAGUGAAGAAGGCCCUUGGGUUGUAAAGCUCUUUCGUCGGGGAAGAAAAUGACUGUACCCGAAUAAGAAGGUCCGGCUAACUUCGUGCCAGCAGCCGCGGUAAUACGAAGGGACCUAGCGUAGUUCGGAAUUACUGGGCUUAAAGAGUUCGUAGGUGGUUGAAAAAGUUGGUGGUGAAAUCCCAGAGCUUAACUCUGGAACUGCCAUCAAAACUUUUCAGCUGGAGUUUGAUAGAGGAAAGCAGAAUUUCUAGUGUAGAGGUGAAAUUCGUAGAUAUUAGAAAGAAUACCAAUUGCGAAGCAGCUUUCUGGAUCAUUACUGACACUGAGGAACGAAAGCAUGGGUAGCGAAGAGGAUUAGAUACCCUCGUAGUCCAUGCCGUAAACGAUGUGUGUUAGACGUUGGAAAUUUAUUUUCAGUGUCGCAGCGAAAGCGAUAAACACACCGCCUGGGGAGUACGACCGCAAGGUUAAAACUCAAAUGAAUUGACGGGGACCCGCACAAGUAGUGGAGCAUGUGGUUUAAUUCGAAGAUACGCGCAGAACCUUACCAACACUUGACAUGUUCGUCGCGACUUUAAGAGAUUAAAGUUUUCGGUUCGGCCGGACGAAACACAGGUGCUGCAUGGCUGUCGUCAGCUCGUGUCGUGAGAUGUUGGGUUAAGUCCCGCAACGAGCGCAACCCUCACUUUUAGUUGCCAUCAUUAAGUUGGGCACUCUGAAAGAACUGCCAGUGAUAAGCUGGAGGAAGGUGGGGAUGACGUCAAGUCCUCAUGGCCCUUACGUGUUGGGCUACACACGUGCUACAAUGGCAUUUACAAUAGGAGGCAAAACGGCGACGUUAAGCAAAUCCUAAAAAAAUGCCUCAGUUCGGAUUGUACUCUGCAACUCGAGUACAUGAAGCUGGAAUUACUAGUAAUCGCGGAUCAGCGCGCCGCGGUGAAUACGUUCCCGGGUCUUGUACACACCGCCCGUCACACCAUGGGAGUUGGUUCUACCUUAAGGCAAAGGUUAAAAACUUUGACCACGGUAUAGUCAGCGACUGGGGUGAAGUCGUAACAAGGUAGCCGUA